CAAAGUUACACCCCCCUCCCCCCGCCCCCCAAGAAAAAGCAAUCUCUCAUUUCCAGAUCUGAAAACUAGAAUUCAAAAUCUAAAAACCAAAAAAAUCAAAAAUAGAAGAAAAAAUAAUAAUUUACUGUUCCAUUGAAAUUAGAGACUGAUUUCAGUUUUUGUUUGUCGUUUCACAUUCUGUAGUUGCUAUCGUUGCUUGUUGAUGUGUAGAGGUUCAAUUCAAAUGCAAUUGAAUAAAAUUAAGUGGGUUUUUGGCUGAGCUUUCCACUAGUGAAGUUUCAUAAGGAUUUUAAGUUCAGUUUUGAAUUAUUUUGGGAGAUUUCAAGUUGAAGUUAGUAUUCUGAAUCUAGUAUGGGUGUUUUGCUGGUUAUCUAUGCAUUGUUGUUCAUUUCUGGGUUGGUUUGCUACUAUGUAGAGUUGAUCUAUUAGUUUUCUGUUUUAUUUGAACACUUCCGGACUACUUGAUUUUUGUUACUGGGCUAUUUGUGAUUUAUCACUGAUUGCAGUUGAAUCCUCUUCUCCUUCAUUACUUUUUACUUCCAGCUACCUCCCUUGAUCUCCUGUAUGUUGUGAUGGAUCCUUGUAACUCAAUUUGAAGGAUAAAUGAAGUGAAGAGUGGCUUCAAGUGGGUUGUCAAAUUCAUUCAAUUGUGUUUUAGUUUUAAUGUGUUAGAACAAUCAUGUUUAAUUGAUAAUUAGUGUUUUGUAAUAAGUGGACUGUGUGACUAUUAUUUUCCAAUUCAUGUUAUGAACUGAAGGUCUAGUCUAGUUUCAGUAGUUCAGUAAUUGUAUCAAGCUGUCGAGCCCAGUUUUGUGAGACGUUUGCCUUUAGUUGGAAAAACUCCUAGUCUAUCCAGUCCAGGAACCAACGACCUUUUCCAUGAGGUCUGACCAAUUUAAUAUGCCUGGGUCACACGAUUUGGGUUGUUUGGGGCCUGGAACUUAAAUGGGAAUUGGGAUUUUCACAAGCCUGGUUCACUGGGCCAGCAGUCACGAAAUA
RNAcentral lists this long non-coding RNA (999 nucleotides) under Nicotiana benthamiana. Its description in RNAcentral is "long non-coding RNA (NBEN_LNC037498)". The record is from RNAcentral. Lineage: Eukaryota; Viridiplantae; Streptophyta; Magnoliopsida; Solanales; Solanaceae.